GAUGAACGCUGGCGGCGUGCCUAAUACAUGCAAGUCGAGCGAACGGACGAGAAGCUUGCUUCUCUGAUGUUAGCGGCGGACGGGUGAGUAACACGUGGAUAACCUACCUAUAAGACUGGGAUAACUUCGGGAAACCGGAGCUAAUACCGGAUAAUAUUUUGAACCGCAUGGUUCAAAAGUGAAAGACGGUCUUGCUGUCACUUAUAGCUGGAUCCGCGCUGCAUUAGCUAGUUGGUAAGGUAACGGCUUACCAAGGCAACGAUGCAUAGCCGACCUGAGAGGGUGAUCGGCCACACUGGAACUGAGACACGGUCCAGACUCCUACGGGAGGCAGCAGUAGGGAAUCUUCCGCAAUGGGCGAAAGCAUGACGGAGCAACGCCGCGUGAGUGAUGAAGGUCUUCGGAUCGUAAAACUCUGUUAUUAGGGAAGAACAUAUGUGUAAGUAACUGUGCACAUCUUGACGGUACCUAAUCAGAAAGCCACGGCUAACUACGUG
This 497-nucleotide ribosomal RNA is filed under the name uncultured bacterium. Its description in RNAcentral is "partial 16S ribosomal RNA". It matches the Rfam family "Bacterial small subunit ribosomal RNA", at positions 28 to 507 of the family's 1533-position model. The record is from RNAcentral.